AAUAUUGGACAAUGGGCGAAAGCCUGAACCAGCUAUGCCGCGUGUGUGAAUAAGGUCAUUGGUUUGUAAAGCAUUUUAAGUUGGGAGUAAGGGUUGUUGAUUAAUACGCUGCAAUGUUGCCGUUACCGACAGAAUAAGCCCCGGCUUACUACUUGCCAGCAGCCGCGGUAAUACGAAGGGUGCAAGCGUUAAUCGGAAUUAACGGGCGUAAAUGGCGCGUAGGUGGUUCGUUAAGUUGGAUGUGAAAGCCACGGGCUCAACCUGGGAACUGCAUCCAAAACUGGCGAGCUAGAGUUCGAUAGAGGGUGGUGGAAUUUCAUGUGUAGCGGUAAAAUGCGUAGAUAUAGGAAGGAACACCAGUGGCGAAGGCGACCACCUGGACUGAUACUGACACUGAGGUGCGAAAGCGUGGGGAGCAAACAGG
RNAcentral lists this ribosomal RNA (424 nucleotides) under uncultured bacterium. RNAcentral describes it as "partial 16S ribosomal RNA". It matches the Rfam family "Bacterial small subunit ribosomal RNA", at positions 360 to 776 of the family's 1533-position model. The record is from RNAcentral.